This 468-nucleotide ribosomal RNA is filed under the name uncultured bacterium. Its description in RNAcentral is "partial 16S ribosomal RNA". It matches the Rfam family "Bacterial small subunit ribosomal RNA", at positions 28 to 507 of the family's 1533-position model. The record is from RNAcentral.
GACGAACGCUGGCGGCGUGCUUAACACAUGCAAGUCGAACGGAAAGGCCCUGCUUUUGUGGGGUGCUCGAGUGGCGAACGGGUGAGUAACACGUGAGUAACCUGCCCUUGACUUUGGGAUAACUUCAGGAAACUGGGGCUAAUACCGGAUAGGAGCUCCUGCUGCAUGGUGGGGGUUGGAAAGUUUCGGCGGUUGGGGAUGGACUCGCGGCUUAUCAGCUUGUUGGUGGGGUAGUGGCUUACCAAGGCUUUGACGGGUAGCCGGCCUGAGUGGGUGACCGGCCACAUUGGGACUGAGAUACGGCCCAGAAUCCUACGGGAGGCAGCAGUGGGGAAUAUUGCACAAUGGGCGGAAGCCUGAUGCAGCAACGCCGCGUGCGGGAUGACGGCCUUCGGGUUGUAAACCGCUUUCGCCUGUGACGAAGCGUGAGUGACGGUAAUGGGUAAAGAAGCACCGGCUAACUACGUG